RNAcentral lists this ribosomal RNA (164 nucleotides) under uncultured bacterium. Its description in RNAcentral is "partial 16S ribosomal RNA". It matches the Rfam family "Bacterial small subunit ribosomal RNA", at positions 1336 to 1500 of the family's 1533-position model. The record is from RNAcentral.
UAGUAAUCGCGGAUCAGCAUGCCGCGGUGAAUACGUUCCCGGGCCUUGUACACACCGCCCGUCACACCAUGGGAGCCGGUAAUACCCGAAGUCAGUAGUCCAACCACGUGAGGACGCUGCCGAAGGUAGGAUUGGCGACUGGGGUGAAGUCGUAACAAGGUAGC